GCCAGACUCCUACGGGAGGCAGCAGUGGGGGAUAUUGCACAAUGGGGGAAACCCUGAUGCAGCGACGCCGCGUGGGUGAAGAAGCGCCUCGGCGCGUAAAGCCCUGUCAGCAGGGAAGAAAAUGACGGUACCUGAAGAAGAAGCCCCGGCUAACUACGUGCCAGCAGCCGCGGUAAUACGUAGGGGGCAAGCGUUAUCUGGAUUUACUGGGUGUAAAGGGGGCGCAGACGGCAGCGCAAGCCAGGAGUGAAAGCCCGGGGCCCAACCCCGGGACUGCUCUUGGAACUGCGCGGCUGGAGUGCAGGAGGGGCAGGCGGAAUUCCUAGUGUAGCGGUGAAAUGCGUAGAUAUUAGGAGGAACACCGGUGGCGAAGGCGGCCUGCUGGACCGUGACUGACGUUGAGGCUCGAGAGCGUGGGGAGCAAACAGGAUUAGAUACCCCCGUA
RNAcentral lists this ribosomal RNA (445 nucleotides) under uncultured bacterium. RNAcentral describes it as "partial 16S ribosomal RNA". It matches the Rfam family "Bacterial small subunit ribosomal RNA", at positions 330 to 792 of the family's 1533-position model. The record is from RNAcentral.